UACAGAGGGUGCGAGCGUUGUCCGGAAUCACUGGGCGUAAAGGGCGCGUAGGUGGCGACCCAAGUCUGUGGUGAAAGCUCGCCGCUUAACGGCGAGUCGGCCACGGAUACUGGGUGGCUCGAGCACUGUAGGGGCAGAUGGAAUUCCGGGUGUAGCGGUGGAAUGCGUAGAGAUCGGCAGGAACACCCAGGGGGAAACCAGUCGACUGGGCAUCUACUGACGCUGAGGUGCGAGAGCGUGGGGAGCGAACCGG
RNAcentral lists this ribosomal RNA (253 nucleotides) under uncultured bacterium. RNAcentral describes it as "partial 16S ribosomal RNA". It matches the Rfam family "Bacterial small subunit ribosomal RNA", at positions 524 to 776 of the family's 1533-position model. The record is from RNAcentral.